This 253-nucleotide ribosomal RNA is filed under the name uncultured bacterium. RNAcentral describes it as "partial 16S ribosomal RNA". It matches the Rfam family "Bacterial small subunit ribosomal RNA", at positions 524 to 776 of the family's 1533-position model. The record is from RNAcentral.
UACGUAGGGUGCAAGCGUUGUCCGGAAUUAUUGGGCGUAAAGAGCUCGUAGGCGGUUUGUCGCGUCGGCUGUGAAAACCUGGGGCUCAACCCCGGGCCUGCAGCCGAUACGGGCAGACUAGAAUUCGGUAGGGGAGUCCGGAAUUCCUGGUGUAGCGGUGAAGUGCGCAGAUAUCAGGAGGAACACCGGUGGCGAAGGCGGGACUCUGGGCCGAUAUUGACGCUGAGGAGCGAAAGCGUGGGGAGCAAACAGG